GAUUACACAUGCAGUCGAACGGGCAUAGCAAUAUGUCAGUGGCAGACGGGUGAGUAACGCGUGGGAACAUACCUCUUGGUUCGGAACAACACAGGGAAACUUGUGCUAAUACCGGAUAAGCCCUUACGGGGAAAGAUUUAUCGCCGAGAGAUUGGCCCGCGUCUGAUUAGCUAGUUGGUGUGGUAAAGGCGCACCAAGGCGACGAUCAGUAGCUGGUCUGAGAGGAUGAUCAGCCACAUUGGGACUGAGACACGGCCCAAACUCCUACGGGAGGCAGCAGUGGGGAAUAUUGGACAAUGGGCGCAAGCCUGAUCCAGCCAUGCCGCGUGAGUGAUGAAGGCCUUAGGGUUGUAAAGCUCUUUUGUACGGGAAGAUAAUGACGGUACCGUAAGAAUAAGCCCCGGCUAACUUCGUGCCAGCAGCCGCGGUAAUACGAAGGGGGCUAGCGUUGCUCGGAAUCACUGGGCGUAAAGGGUGCGUAGGCGGGUUUUUAAGUCAGAGGUGAAAUCCUGGAGCUCAACUCCAGAACUGCCUUUGAUACUGAAAGUCUUGAGUAUGGGAGAGGUGAGUGGAACUGCGAGUGUAGAGGUGAAAUUCGUAGAUAUUCGCAAGAACACCAGUGGCGAAGGCGGCUCACUGGCCCAUUACUGACGCUGAGGCACGAAAGCGUGGGGAGCAAACAGGAUAA
Molecule: ribosomal RNA, 688 nt
Filed under: Bradyrhizobium sp. 1.5-09
Lineage: Bacteria; Pseudomonadati; Pseudomonadota; Alphaproteobacteria; Hyphomicrobiales; Nitrobacteraceae
Description: bacterial SSU rRNA
Rfam family: Bacterial small subunit ribosomal RNA
Source: RNAcentral